GACAGAGGGUGCAAACGUUGCUCGGAAUUACUGGGCGUAAAGCGCGUGUAGGCGGUUCCGCAAGUCAGGUGUGAAAGCCCAGGGCUCAACCCUGGAAGUGCACUUGAUACUACGGAGCUUGAGUACUGAAGAGGAGAGCGGAAUUCCCGGUGUAGAGGUGAAAUUCGUAGAUAUCGGGAGGAACACCAGUGGCGAAGGCGGCUCUCUGGGCCUUACCUGACGCUGAGGAGCGAAAGCGUGGGGAGCGAACAGG
This 253-nucleotide ribosomal RNA is filed under the name uncultured bacterium. Its description in RNAcentral is "partial 16S ribosomal RNA". It matches the Rfam family "Bacterial small subunit ribosomal RNA", at positions 524 to 776 of the family's 1533-position model. The record is from RNAcentral.